GACGAACGCUGGCGGCGUGCUUAACACAUGCAAGUCGAACGGACAGGCCCUGCUUUUGUGGGGUGCUCGAGUGGCGAACGGGUGAGUAACACGUGAGUAACCUGCCCUUGACUUUGGGAUAACUUCAGGAAACUGGGGCUAAUACCGGGUAGGAGCUCCUGCUGCAUGGUGGGGGUUGGAAAGUUUCGGCGGUUGGGGAUGGACUCGCGGCUUAUCAGCUUGUUGGUGGGGUAGUGGCUUACCAAGGCCUUGACGGGUAGCCGGCCUGAGAGGGUGACCGGCCACAUUGGGACUGAGAUGCGGCCCAGACUCCUACGGGAGGCGGCGGUGGGGAAGAGUGCACAAGGGGCGGAAGCCUGAUGCAGUAACGCCGCGUGCGGGAUGACGGCCUUCGGGUUGUAUACCGCUUUCGCCUGUGACGAAGAGAGAGUGACGGUAAUGGGUAAAGAAGCACCGGCUAACUACGUG
Molecule: ribosomal RNA, 468 nt
Filed under: uncultured bacterium
Lineage: Bacteria
Description: partial 16S ribosomal RNA
Rfam family: Bacterial small subunit ribosomal RNA
Source: RNAcentral